AUCGUCAAACACGGGUUGUUGCUGGCCUCCAAACGGGGGCACGUGCACGCUCUGUUUACACAUCCACUCACACCUGUGCACCCUCUGUAGUCCUAUGGUUCGGAAGACCCCGUCUUCCUUCUGUAGCUCUACGUCUUUACACACACACUGUAGCGAUGUCUCAUGGAAUGUUUUUAUGCGUUUAACGCGAUACAAUACAACUUUCAGCAACGGAUCUCUUGGCUCUCGCAUCGAUGAAGAACGCAGCGAAAUGCGAUAAGUAAUGUGAAUUGCAGAAUUCAGUGAAUCAUCGAAUCUUUGAACGCACCUUGCGCCCCUUGGUUAUUCCUUGGAGCAUGCCUGUUUGAGUAUCAUGAACACCUCAACUCUCAUGGUCUUCCAUGAUGAGCUUGGACUUUGGGGGUUUGCUGGCCCUGCGGCCGGCUCCUCUCAAAUGAAUCAGCUUGCCAGUGUUUGGUGGCAUCACGGGUGUGAUAACUAUCUACGCUCGCGGUCGUCUGCCAGGUAACCCUCAGCGAUGAGGGUUCAUUGGAGCUCAUAAACGUCUCUCCUCGGCGAGGACAACUUUUGAACGUUCGAUCUCAAAUCAGGUAGGAUUACCCGCUGAACUUAAGCAUAUCA
This 621-nucleotide ribosomal RNA is filed under the name Tomentella sp. T1. RNAcentral's name for it is "eukaryotic LSU rRNA". The stretch from base 199 to 353 matches the Rfam family "5.8S ribosomal RNA". Lineage: Eukaryota; Fungi; Basidiomycota; Agaricomycetes; Thelephorales; Thelephoraceae. The record is from RNAcentral.